GCCAUUCCUACUUUCGGUUAUCUAGCUUUAUGAUGGAUGAUUAACACUCAUACAGCUAGAUAACCAAAGACAGGAACAAGCUCCGUUGUCUACGCUGUAACAGCAAGAGUGCGAUUGCAGCCAAAAGACUCACUUCCUCAUCGUGCCUGCUGCGUCCAUGGAGACUAAAACAUCCACACGAGGUGCCGAGGAGGGUCGGAAGCAUCCUUCAGGCUCCAGAUGUGCGGGACACUUGACUUUGGUUGCAACCUCGCUCCGACAGACAGCAGCACGUGCACGUGCAAGAUGAGCGCGCAGAUGAGGGACAGGCCGGCCUUUCAUCCGCAGUGUGGCGCGAGCGUCUUCCUUCAGUCCGACAGGUCCUGAGGAUGCGCUUGUCUCCUCUCACGGAGUGAUGUGCCCUCACCUCCUCCCUGCCCUUUUUUUUUGCAAAUGACCCCUCCUCCGUUUGCGCUGACGUCACAGCAACGCCAAGUUGGUGAUAACCAAUCGCAUGCGGCCCAUCGUUCAGAUGGAACUUGCAUUGUUUUAGGAACCAAAGAGAAACUGUAGCCCUCUCUAAUAAAUGUAUGUUUUUAUUUUUUUUAUUUUUAAUUAUCAAUAGCACUAGUGGUUUUAGUUUAGUUUAUUUCAAUUAAUUUCUCCGAUGCCAGGGCCUGGGACAGAUUAAAGCCCUCUGAAACAAAUCUGUGAUCUGUGUAGAGAGCUACACAAAAUGUGGUAAAUGUAUUGAAGGAAGCUCAUGAAUUAUCUUUCGGGAGCCUGCUUUUAUACACUUACUUAAACUUACUAUUCAAACCAAUUAUAUAUAGAGUUUACAAAAGAUAAAAAUAAAAAAGUCACUGUGUCAAACAAUGCACAUGUGUAUGCAUAUGCACAAUGCAUAUGUGUAUCAGCCUGUACACUCCUGUACAAUCAUCUCUCAUUAGCUCCUAAGCAUCGCACACCUUACUGAAGACACCAACUAUUGACCGACAUGCAUUUUAGGCCCCAGAAACGUGCAUCAGGUCACCUCUGACUAAGGUUCAUUGUGAUCAUCUUUAAGAUAUUUGAACUGAUAGACGUGUCGUUUGGUUAGAGACAUUAGAUUCACUUUUUCCUGUUCGCAGCUCAGAACAAUACCAUUUUAGUUUAUUUGCUUUAAUAAAUCGUUGUUUGUUUUAAGGAUGAA
Non-coding RNA from Gasterosteus aculeatus aculeatus (three-spined stickleback), 1171 nucleotides. NCBI's taxonomy places the organism in Eukaryota, Metazoa, Chordata, Actinopteri, Perciformes, Gasterosteidae. The record is from RefSeq and is a predicted model, not a curated record.